Manis javanica (Malayan pangolin) is the source of this 398-nucleotide long non-coding RNA. RefSeq lists it as uncharacterized. The record is from RefSeq and is a predicted model, not a curated record. Lineage: Eukaryota; Metazoa; Chordata; Mammalia; Pholidota; Manidae.
CCCUCCAGUUCCUGGAAAAUGAGGACAGUUGGACCUACCAGGGAUAAGUGUGUAGAGGAUCUGCAAACACUUAAUAUGGUGAUCAGAGAAGGCCUGCGGACAAGGAGGCAUUUGGAUGAAGAGCUGAUGGAGGCAAGGGACUGAAUUUGUCCUUCCUUAAGAAUAAAAGUGAUCUCACAAGGAAGACCCGAGACAAGAGAAGCAAGAGCAAAGAAAAUGCAUGAGAAUGUAGCUGGAAGCACAUGGAAUUUGAAGUGAGAGAGAACAUAUCUAGUGUGAACACCUGGGCAAGCCACCUCCCUCCUCCAAGUCUCAACUUCUCAUCUGCAAAACGGGGAGAGUCACACCUUCCUAUAGGAUUGUUGAAAGGAGAAAAUGGAACAAUGGAUCAAGUAAAA